CCAGAGAACUUUCCAGAGAUGGAUUGGUGCCUUCGGGAACUCUGAGACAGGUGCUGCAUGGCUGUCGUCAGCUCGUGUUGUGAAAUGUUGGGUUAAGUCCCGCAACGAGCGCAACCCUUAUCCUUUGUUGCCAGCGGUCCGGCCGGGAACUCAAAGGAGACUGCCAGUGAUAAACUGGAGGAAGGUGGGGAUGACGUCAAGUCAUCAUGGCCCUUACGAGUAGGGCUACACACGUGCUACAAUGGCGCAUACAAAGAGAAGCGACCUCGCGAGAGCAAGCGGACCUCAUAAAGUGCGUCGUAGUCCGGAUUGGAGUCUGCAACUCGACUCCAUGAAGUCGGAAUCGCUAGUAAUCGUGGAUCAGAAUGCCACGGUGAAUACGUUCCCGGGCCUUGUACACACCGCCCGUCACACCAUGGGAGUGGGUUGCAAAAGAAGUAGGUAGCUUAACCUUCGGGAGGGCGCCUACCACUUUGUGAUUCAUGACUGGGGUGAAGUCGUAACAAGGUAAGCGUAGUGCU
Molecule: ribosomal RNA, 521 nt
Filed under: uncultured bacterium
Lineage: Bacteria
Description: bacterial SSU rRNA
Rfam family: Bacterial small subunit ribosomal RNA
Source: RNAcentral